RNAcentral lists this small nuclear RNA (319 nucleotides) under Chinchilla lanigera (long-tailed chinchilla). Its description in RNAcentral is "7SK RNA (ENSCLAG00000021633.1)". It matches the Rfam family "7SK RNA". Rfam says of the family: 7SK was discovered as an abundant small nuclear RNA in the mid-70s but a possible function has only recently been suggested. Two independent studies have found that 7SK RNA binds the CDK9/cyclin T complex (known as elongation factor P-TEFb). Lineage: Eukaryota; Metazoa; Chordata; Mammalia; Rodentia; Chinchillidae. The record is from Rfam by way of RNAcentral.
GGAUGUGAGGGCAAUCUGGCUGCGACAUCUGUCACCCCAUUGAUCUCCAGGGUUGAUUCGGCUGAUCUGGCUGGCUAGGCGGGUGUCCCCUUCCUCCCUCAAAGCUCCGUGUGCGACCCUUCCGAAGCUGCGCACUCCGUCGAAGCGGACCACCCACCCCGAUAGAGAAGGACUGUUCCUCGGUCAAGGGUGUAGGAGUAACUGCUCUUCCUUGCUAGAACCUCCAAACAAAUACUCAAAAACAGAAAAGUAACAAAUAAUGAAAUAGCUUUAUUUAAUCUUUUAUAGUCAAAGAACGUCAUUUGUUUUAAGUUACUUU